UACGUAGGGGGCAAGCGUUGUCCGGAAUCAUUGGGCGUAAAGGGCGCGUAGGCGGUUAGAUUAGUCUGAUGUGAAAGACCUGGGCUUAACCUGGGAUGUGCAUUGGAAACGGUCUAGCUAGAGUUUGGGAGAGGGAAGUGGAAUUUCCGGUGUAGCGGUGAAAUGCGUAGAGAUCGGAAAGAACACUCGUGGCGAAGGCGACUUUCUGGCCCAAAACUGACGCUGAGGCGCGAAAGCGUGGGGAGCAAACAGG
RNAcentral lists this ribosomal RNA (253 nucleotides) under uncultured bacterium. RNAcentral describes it as "partial 16S ribosomal RNA". It matches the Rfam family "Bacterial small subunit ribosomal RNA", at positions 524 to 776 of the family's 1533-position model. The record is from RNAcentral.